AAGUACGGUUGCUUCUUUCCUCCUGUGUGUUCAGAGGUUGGAGUUCCAGAUUCCCGAGCUGAAGCAACGUUUCAUGUCAUUUUUUCAAUGUCCUCACCUUCUGUGGGAUGGAAGAGAGAAACAGCUGGGCGUAGCUGAGUGUUCCCUGUCCUCUGAAGUGAAUUCUCCAUCCAGAGGUGGUGCUGCCCUCAGCCAGCUCCUUGCCUAGUAGGUGCUGUUCCACCCCCAGCUCUUCUCUCCUUCUUUUCCACACUAACCUGCCCUGCGUCUCCAUCUGAUCGAAGACUCUGCAAAAUGAGCCAGAUUCCUUGGAUGAAUGGUUCUUGACGAGGGCUCCACAUCUCAUGAUGAAUCUGCUCCGCUGUUAGGCCCAGAAGGGCACCAGCUGUGUGUGCGUGGUGCGCCUGGGUUAGUGUUUCCUGCAUCCUGGGCCCUCAGUGCUUUCUGCAUCCUGGCUGCUCAGCUCCACACCACAGACUCUGAGAUUGCUAAGUCCUGGAUAUGUGAGCAAGUGUACAAAAAACUAAGUGCCAUUAACAUCUCCAGAUACCGUACGCAUUCUAGUUGGGACCUUCCUCACUUUAAGACACAGAGUGAAUAACAAGGCAGUUUCAAGGUCUAUGACAAGUGGUCCCCAACCUUUUUGGCACCAGGGACCAGUUUCAUGGAAGGCAAUUUUUCCAUAGGCCGAGGGUCAGGGAAACAGUGUCAGAC
Molecule: long non-coding RNA, 714 nt
Organism: Bos taurus (domestic cattle)
Lineage: Eukaryota; Metazoa; Chordata; Mammalia; Artiodactyla; Bovidae
Source: Ensembl